Molecule: ribosomal RNA, 1304 nt
Filed under: Bacillus aerius
Lineage: Bacteria; Bacillati; Bacillota; Bacilli; Caryophanales; Bacillaceae
Description: bacterial SSU rRNA
Rfam family: Bacterial small subunit ribosomal RNA
Source: RNAcentral
UAACACGUGGGUAACCUGCCUGUAAGACCGGGAUAACUCCGGGAAACCGGAGCUAAUACCGGAUAGUUCCUUGAACCGCAUGGUUCAAGGAUGAAAGACGGUUUCGGCUGUCACUUACAGAUGGACCCGCGGCGCAUUAGCUAGUUGGUGAGGUAACGGCUCACCAAGGCGACGAUGCGUAGCCGACCUGAGAGGGUGAUCGGCCACACUGGGACUGAGACACGGCCCAGACUCCUACGGGAGGCAGCAGUAGGGAAUCUUCCGCAAUGGACGAAAGUCUGACGGAGCAACGCCGCGUGAGUGAUGAAGGUUUUCGGAUCGUAAAGCUCUGUUGUUAGGGAAGAACAAGUGCAAGAGUAACUGCUUGCACCUUGACGGUACCUAACCAGAAAGCCACGGCUAACUACGUGCCAGCAGCCGCGGUAAUACGUAGGUGGCAAGCGUUGUCCGGGAUUUUUUGGCGUAAAGGGCUCGCAGGCGGUUUCUUAAAGUCUGAUGUGAAAGCCCCCGGCUUCAACCGGGGAGGGUCAUUGGAAACUGGGAAACUUGAGUGCAGAAGAGGAGAGUGGAAUUCCACGUGUAGCGGUGAAAUGCGUAGAGAUGUGGAGGAACACCAGUGGCGAAGGCGACUCUCUGGUCUGUAACUGACCGCUGAGGAGCGAAAGCGUGGGGGAGCGAACAGGAUUAGAUACCCUGGUAGUCCACGCCGUAAACGAUGAGUGCUAAGUGUUAGGGGGUUUCCGCCCCUUAGUGCUGCAGCUAACGCAUUAAGCACUCCGCCUGGGGAGUACGGUCGCAAGACUGAAACUCAAAGGAAUUGACGGGGGCCCGCACAAGCGGUGGAGCAUGUGGUUUAAUUCGAAGCAACGCGAAGAACCUUACCAGGUCUUGACAUCCUCUGACAACCCUAGAGAUAGGGCUUUCCCUUCGGGGACAGAGUGACAGGUGGUGCAUGGUUGUCGUCAGCUCGUGUCGUGAGAUGUUGGGUUAAGUCCCGCAACGAGCGCAACCCUUGAUCUUAGUUGCCAGCAUUCAGUUGGGCACUCUAAGGUGACUGCCGGUGACAAACCGGAGGAAGGUGGGGAUGACGUCAAAUCAUCAUGCCCCUUAUGACCUGGGCUACACACGUGCUACAAUGGACAGAACAAAGGGCUGCGAGACCGCAAGGUUUAGCCAAUCCCACAAAUCUGUUCUCAGUUCGGAUCGCAGUCUGCAACUCGACUGCGUGAAGCUGGAAUCGCUAGUAAUCGCGGAUCAGCAUGCCGCGGUGAAUACGUUGCCGGGCCUUGUACACACCGCCCGUC